CAGAUUGUAAAAGAGAGCCACUACAGCCCUAUUUGUGGGGCUAGGUGUGGAAGUGCUUGGCCUGACAACUGUACUCCUUUAGCCAUGGUGCUGACUGUGCGGGGCCUCAUUUUACUCUUUCUUGUGUUGGCUCCUUAAGAAACAAGUUGAGGAAGGAUUAAACAUUGGGAUAAAGCUCCGCUGCUGUGAACGGUAUCGGCCACAUAAAGGUCUGCCUUGUACAUGUAAUCGAAUGCACCCUAUACGCUUGCAUUACAUUGGCACACUUAGAUGCUGGACCCCACGCCACCUGCAUACAUACCUGGCACCUGGCAAUCAGGUGACAGAUGACUGGAUGUUGGAGACAUAUCGAGCCCCUUAUUGUCAUAAUAUCUGCACUCUUGGAACAUUGAUGAAGGUCCAAGCAAGACGGUCAGAUUGUGGAAUCAAAGAGGGCCAGCAGUCUACAACCUAUAGAAGAGGAGUUUAAAAAAAUGAGCACUUGCUGUCAAGUGGAUAAAAGCAGAGAUGGUAGUGAGAGUGGAAGAAACGUGCUGUCCAUCCAGGACAAGUCUGUUCUGCAGGGACUGGUGGAGAGAGGCAAGCAGGGGUGAAGAGGCUUGCCAAGGGCCACAACAUACUGCCAGCAACUGGAUUUGAACCUCCAACCCUAUGAUUGGAAACCAUAGUCCCUUACCACUUGGCCACACGAAAGAGAUAUCCUGGCAGAAGGAGUUUUCGUUAUGGUUGCUGCAUCAGAGGCUCCGCUGUAAAAUGCUGACCAGUCAUAGAGGGCGCUAUUACCACUCCAUGAAACCUACUACACUGUACAUUAUACAAUGGUAAUG
Molecule: long non-coding RNA, 827 nt
Organism: Acanthaster planci (crown-of-thorns starfish)
Lineage: Eukaryota; Metazoa; Echinodermata; Asteroidea; Valvatida; Acanthasteridae
Source: RefSeq, a predicted model, not a curated record